AUCAAUCCCUGGUGGUAGAUCAAGAAACAUAAAGGAAACUACACAAGGCAAAUUACAAUCAAAUUUCUUAAAACCAACCAUAAACUUC
Non-coding RNA from Callorhinus ursinus (northern fur seal), 88 nucleotides. NCBI's taxonomy places the organism in Eukaryota, Metazoa, Chordata, Mammalia, Carnivora, Otariidae. The record is from RefSeq and is a predicted model, not a curated record.